UAGGGAAUCUUCGGCAAUGGGGGCAACCCUGACCGAGCAACGCCGCGUGAGUGAAGAAGGUUUUCGGAUCGUAAGGCUCUGUUGUAAGUCAAGAACGGGUGUGAGAGUGGAAAGUUCACACUGUGACGGUAGCUUACCAGAAAGGGACGGCUAACUACGUGCCAGCAGCCGCGGUAAUACGUAGGUCCCGAGCGUUGUCCGGAUUUAUUGGGCGUAAAGCGAGCGCAGGCGGUUUGAUAAGUCUGAAGUUAAAGGCUGUGGCUCAACCAUAGUUCGCUUUGGAAACUGUCAAACUUGAGUGCAGAAGGGGAGAGUGGAAUUCCAUGUGUAGCGGUGAAAUGCGUAGAUAUAUGGAGGAACACCGGUGGCGAAAGCGGCUCUCUGGUCUGUAACUGACGCUGAGGCUCGAAAGCGUGGGGAGCGAACAGGAUUAGAUACCCUGGUAGUCCACGCCGUAAACGAUGAGUGCUAGGUGUUGGAUCCUUUCCGGGAUUCAGUGCCGCAGCUAACGCAUUAAGCACUCCGCCUG
RNAcentral lists this ribosomal RNA (529 nucleotides) under uncultured bacterium. Its description in RNAcentral is "partial 16S ribosomal RNA". It matches the Rfam family "Bacterial small subunit ribosomal RNA", at positions 355 to 875 of the family's 1533-position model. The record is from RNAcentral.